GGGGAAUAUUGGGCAAUGGGCGCAAGCCUGACCCAGCAACGCCGCGUGAAGGAAGAAGGCUUUCGGGUUGUAAACUUCUUUUAAGUGGGAAGAGCAGAAGACGGUACCACUUGAAUAAGCCACGGCUAACUACGUGCCAGCAGCCGCGGUAAUACGUAGGUGGCAAGCGUUGUCCGGAUUUACUGGGUGUAAAGGGCGUGCAGCCGGGCAUGCAAGUCAGAUGUGAAAUCUCAGGGCUUAACCCUGAAACUGCAUUUGAAACUGUAUGUCUUGAGUGCCGGAGAGGUAAUCGGAAUUCCUUGUGUAGCGGUGAAAUGCGUAGAUAUAAGGAAGAACACCAGUGGCGAAGGCGGAUUACUGGACGGUAACUGACGGUGAGGCGCGAAAGCGUGGGGAGCGAACAGGAUUAGAUACCCUGGUAGUCCACGCUGUAAACGAUGGAUACUAGGUGUGCGGGGACUGACCCCCUGCGUGCCGCAGUUAACACAAUAAGUAUCCCACCUGGGGAGUACGAUCGCAAGGUUGAAACUCAAAGGAAUUGACGGGGGCCCGCACAAGCGGUGGAUUAUGUGGUUUAAUUCGAAGCAACGCGAAGAACCUUACCAGGUCUUGACAUCCUGCUAACGAAGUAGAGAUACAUUAGGUGCCCUUCGGGGAAAGCAGAGACAGGUGGUGCAUGGUUGUCGUCAGCUCGUGUCGUGAGAUGUUGGGUUAAGUCCCGCAACGAGCGCAACCCCUAUUGUUAGUUGCUACGCAAGAGCACUCUAGCGAGACUGCCGUUGACAAAACGGAGGAAGGUGGGGACGACGUCAAAUCAUCAUGCCCCUUAUGACCUGGGCUACACACGUAAUACAAUGGCGGUCAACAAAGGGAUGCAAAGCCGCGAGGCAGAGCGAACCCCAAAAAGCCGUCCCAGUUCGGAUCGCAGGCUGCAACCCGCCUGCGUGAAGUCGGAAUCGCUAGUAAUCGUGGGUCAGCAUACCACGGUGAAUACGUUCCCG
RNAcentral lists this ribosomal RNA (1001 nucleotides) under uncultured bacterium. RNAcentral describes it as "bacterial SSU rRNA". It matches the Rfam family "Bacterial small subunit ribosomal RNA", at positions 356 to 1376 of the family's 1533-position model. The record is from RNAcentral.